This is a non-coding RNA of Equus caballus (horse), 575 nucleotides long. The record is from RefSeq and is a predicted model, not a curated record. NCBI's taxonomy places the organism in Eukaryota, Metazoa, Chordata, Mammalia, Perissodactyla, Equidae.
UGGGUGGGAUGAGCAGCCCUGUUGGAGAACGUGGGAAAUGCCCCCUGAGGCUGUGGGCUGUGGGGGUCCGGUGCAGCCCCAAAUGGCCGGACCUGGAAACUCUGACAUGACUCUGCUUUCCAACCGCAGGCAGACAGACCACAUCCAGCUUCCCAAGCAUGAAAAAAUUCGUAGACACGUGUGAGAUGUUGGAGCUCACAAAGAGUGCAACCAUUCUCCCAAAAGACGCCUCCUGUGCGCACACCAUCCUGCCGUGAGAGGGAGCCGCCCGCCUGCUCUUUCCUUCGGGGCUUGGCUUGCGGUCCCCCUAGACCCCCGGAGUGUUGUUCCAGGUUGCAGGUCUCAUACCCAGAUGCUUGUUGAGAAGCCUUUGGUGACCCCAGGACAUUGAAGGUCUGGAACCCAGGGCCACGGCUCUAGCCCAAAAGGAAUCUUUCAUGAUCAUCGAGCUGACUGGGCAAGGAGAUGCCAAGCCAGACCCCUUCUUCCUGUGUCCUCCAGACCACAUGGCAGAAAGAUGCUGCUGUCCCCCAUCUGCUGUGAAAUAGACCACGGUCUGGUCCAGUGUCAUCCUU